Molecule: ribosomal RNA, 921 nt
Filed under: uncultured Bacteroidota bacterium
Lineage: Bacteria; Pseudomonadati; Bacteroidota
Description: bacterial SSU rRNA
Rfam family: Bacterial small subunit ribosomal RNA
Source: RNAcentral
UCAGACUUUGAUUAUGGCUCAGGAUGAACGCUAGCUACAGGCUUAACACAUGCAAGUCGAGGGGAAACGACAUCGUAAGCUUGCUUUUGAUGGGCGUCGACCGGCGCACGGGUGAGUAACGCGUAUCCAACCUGCCCAUCACUUGGGGAUAACUUUGCGAAAGUAAGACUAAUACCCAAUGACGUCUCUAGAAGACAUCUGAAAGAGAUUAAAGAUUUAUCGGUGAUGGAUGGGGACGCGUCUGAUUAGCUUGUUGGCGGGGUAACGGCCCACCAAGGCGACGAUCAGUAGGGGUUCUGAGAGGAAGGUCCCCCACAUUGGAACUGAGACACGGUCCAAACUCCUACGGGAGGCAGCAGUGAGGAAUAUUGGUCAAUGGGCGAGAGCCUGAACCAGCCAAGUAGCGUGCAGGAAGACGGCCCUAUGGGUUGUAAACUGCUUUUAUAAGGGAAUAAAGUGAGUCUCGUGAGACUUUUUGCAUGUACCUUAUGAAUAAGGACCGGCUAAUUCCGUGCCAGCAGCCGCGGUAAUACGGAAGGUCCGGGCGUUAUCCGGAUUUACUGGGUUUAAAGGGAGCGUAGGCCGGAGAUUAAGCGUGUUGUGAAAUGUAGACGCUCAACGUCUGCACUGCAGCGCGAACUGGUUUCCUUGAGUACGCACAAAGUGGGCGGAAUUCGUGGUGUAGCGGUGAAAUGCUUAGAUAUCACGAAGAACUCCGAUUGCGAAGGCAGCUCACUGGAGCGCAACUGACGCUGAAGCUCGAAAGUGCGGGUAUCGAACAGGAUUAGAUACCCUGGUAGUCCGCACGGUAAACGAUGGAUGCCCGCUGUUGGUCUGAAUAGGUCAGCGGCCAAGCGAAAGCAUUAAGCAUCCCACCUGGGGAGUACGCCGGCAACGGUGCAACUCAAAGGAAUUGACGGA